RNAcentral lists this ribosomal RNA (301 nucleotides) under uncultured bacterium. RNAcentral's name for it is "partial 16S ribosomal RNA". It matches the Rfam family "Bacterial small subunit ribosomal RNA", at positions 509 to 808 of the family's 1533-position model. The record is from RNAcentral.
CAGUAGCCACGGGAAUACGUAGGGGGCGAGCGUUGUCCGAAGUUACUGGGCGUAAAGAGCGCGUAGGCUGGUCUUUAAGUGAGUGGUGAAAGGUUCGGGCUCAACCCGGACACUGCCUUUCAUACUGGGGACCUUGAGUGUGGGAGAGGCGAGUGGAAUGGUCGGUGUAGCGGUGAAUGCGUAGAUAUCGAUCGGAACACCCAUGGCGAAGGCAGCUCGCUGGCCUAACACUGACGCUGAGGCGCGAAAGCGCGGGGAGCAAACAGGAUUAGAUACCCGCGUAGUCCCUGUCUCUUAUACA